CACACACACACACACACACACACACACACACACACACACACACACAGGUAUGUUUCCAGACAACUGUUCAGUUGGGUCUAUGCCAAUGAAAGUUUCAUAUCGUUUUACUUGGGUUUCUUGAAUUGCUAUGUGUACAUUGUCCGGUAGAGGGCGCCCAUCAGCUGCUUAUUUGUCACUUAGGACUGUAACUAAAACACUUCAAACCUUCAGGCUGGUUUUGGGGAUUUAAAGAUUUAAAGCAGAAAGUUCACCUUAGAUUUAAAGCAGAAAGUUCACCUUAUAAAGCUGGUUAUCUUUAACUGAUAGAAACUUAAAAAACGAAUUUUAUCUAGGAUUUGGAUGGACUGCAAGGAAUUUCAUGUGCUUUAUUUUAAAGGUUCAAAUGAAAGGCUUUUGUGUCCUAGUGUUAAACUGGAUGUACUCUGGAAACAUUACAAAAAAUCUAGAUGUUCAUAACAAGUCUGCUUUAAAACAGAAAUAAAGAGAAGAAAAGACAAAAACAACAUAUGAAUGCAGUCCUUCAUGAUUUUGUCCCAAAGAACAAAGAUGCGUGCAAACUGCAUCACCUUGUAGUAUGGCAGCUGCUCCGUCUGUGACCAGAAGGCCUCGUAACGAGUCAUGAAAUCUGCCAAAGCCAGUGCUGCUUUAUCGGCACCAUUAAGGACAUUCAGCACAAAUGAUUCCUUCAGAGCAGGGAACAUCCAUGGACUGUUUACCUGCAGUCAAGCAGACGGCACAGGAGUUUGCCAGCAUCAACAGGCCCAGGGCCUACAAUAACCACUAGAGUGACUCAAAUAAUCACUCUUUACAACCACAGUGAGCAGAAAAGCAUCUCGAAGCAUCUCAGACCUUCAGACCUCGAGGCAAAUGGGCAACUACAGCAGAAGGCCACAUUGGGCUUCAGUCCAAGAUGUAGAAUUGAAGGCUGCAGUGGGCACAGGUUUACCAAAACUCAUCUGUUAAGGACUGGAAAAACAAUGCCUGGAUUUCAUCUAAUCUGUAUUUUCAAGCUUUGGUUUAACUGCUCACCUUGAACUGGGAGUUCUUAGAUUUUCUGGUCAAUGCUAAAGUGUAGGACAUUUUUUGUGCUUAUUUACGUCCAUCAAACAUUCGUUAGUUUAAAAUAAAUCUGCAGAUUAAAUAGAAACACAUUUUUAUCAGUUCUUUUUAGUUGCAACCAUCCCUCUAACUUACUGGGCGAUGUGUAAAUAAACGAGUGCAAGGAACAGCAGGCUUCUCUCUGGUCAUGACUGACAUUCAGUUAUUGAUGUAGGCCAGAAAAGCUAAACAGCUCAGCCGUACUUAGGACUCGCACUAAGACUACAGAUUUACUAUUUUGGGAGUGUUACAAAAGAAACUCAUUGCACUGAGCAAUUCUGUAUAGUUGUAUCCUAUGACAAAGAUAAAAUACAUUUGGAGGUUUUAUUCAAUUCAAUUCAAGUUUAUUUGUAUAGCGCUUUUUACAAUAGACAUUGUCUCAAAGCAGCUUUACAGAACAUAAACAC
Long non-coding RNA from Tachysurus fulvidraco (yellow catfish), 1505 nucleotides. RefSeq lists it as uncharacterized. The transcript has 3 exons. NCBI's taxonomy places the organism in Eukaryota, Metazoa, Chordata, Actinopteri, Siluriformes, Bagridae. The record is from RefSeq and is a predicted model, not a curated record.